Molecule: ribosomal RNA, 464 nt
Filed under: Ototyphlonemertes nakaoae complex sp. HL-2022
Lineage: Eukaryota; Metazoa; Nemertea; Enopla; Monostilifera; Ototyphlonemertidae
Description: partial large subunit ribosomal RNA
Rfam family: Archaeal large subunit ribosomal RNA
Source: RNAcentral
UGCCCCUUUGUAAAGUUUUGAUAAAAGGUUUGUUCUGCUCAGUGAUUUUAAACAGCCGCGGUAAUUUGACCGUGCAAAGGUAGCAUAAUCAUUUGCCUUGUAAUUGAGGGCUGGUAUGAAUGAAUAAACAAGAGUCUUGCUUUAUUUUUAAGAAGAAAGUAAUUUUCUUUUUUGGUGAAGAAGCCAAAAUAGUGAAAGGGGACAAGAAGACCCUUUUGAGCUUUACUAAUUUUUAUCUUUUUGGUAUUAAUACUAGUUUGGUUGGGGCGACCUAGGAAGUGGAUCUUCCUUAAUAUAUGUUGAUCCGCAGUUUGUGAUUAAAAAAACAAGUUACCAUAGGGAUAACAGCGUAAUCUUUUUUGAGAGUUCUUAUUAAAAAAAUGGAUUGCGACCUCGAUGUUGACUUAUAAUUUCCUUUUGGUGCAGCCGCUAAUAAGGAAGGUCUGUUCGACCUUUAAAAUUUU